GUCAGGGAUGGCCGAUCGGUCUAAGGCGCUGACAAUGUUUCAGAGGUUAAAGACUUCUGUGGGGGUUCGAAUCCCACUUUUGACA
This is a non-coding RNA of Trichonephila clavipes, 85 nucleotides long. The record is from the annotation of a GenBank genome assembly. NCBI's taxonomy places the organism in Eukaryota, Metazoa, Arthropoda, Arachnida, Araneae, Nephilidae.